Molecule: non-coding RNA, 203 nt
Organism: Vicia faba (fava bean)
Lineage: Eukaryota; Viridiplantae; Streptophyta; Magnoliopsida; Fabales; Fabaceae
Source: the annotation of a GenBank genome assembly
AUGAUUCGGUGCAGGUGUUGCUACUAUUUCCAUGUUUUUGUUAUGCAUUGUUGUUUAAAAGUGAGAAAGAAAGAUCUGCAAAAAACAAUACCCUCUCUUCACGUUAUAUCCCUUAAUGUUUUAUUAUUUUAUUAUUAUUAUUAUUUAAUAUUACCACAUGUCAGUCUACGAAUGAUGCUGAUUUUUAAAUUUAAAAAUCAGUA